This is a long non-coding RNA of Sarcophilus harrisii (Tasmanian devil), 1051 nucleotides long. RefSeq lists it as uncharacterized. NCBI's taxonomy places the organism in Eukaryota, Metazoa, Chordata, Mammalia, Dasyuromorphia, Dasyuridae. The transcript is spliced from 3 exons. The record is from RefSeq and is a predicted model, not a curated record.
UGGUGUUCUAUGGUUCUGUGAUAGACCAGAGAUGGUGUUCUAUGGUUCCGUGAUAGACCAGAGAUGGUGUUCCAUGGUUCCAUGAUAGGUCCAAAGAUGGUGUUCUAUGGUUCUGUGAUAGACCAGAGAUGGUGUUCUAUGGUUCCAUGACAGACCCAAGAUGGUAUUCUAUGGUUCUGUGAUAGACCAGAGAUGGUGUUCUAUGGUUCUGUGAUAGAACCAGAAAUGGUGUUUCCAUGGUUCCAUGCCCUUCCUACUUUUUCCUCCUAAGAUUGGAGGCAGAUUGUAGUUCAGAGUAACAAAAGACUUACUAACAAAUCUGAACUGCCCAGCAAUGGCACAGAUAAUGAUCCCGACCACUGAGUAUCCAAACACAGAAGCAUUUGAUCAUCUAUCCAGCAGCUCUACAGAACAGAUUUUUAUAGAGUCAAGAGACCUCACUUACCAUGACAGACUCAUUCAUGCUCUGCAUAUGGAAGUCGUCCAUGCUGACCACAGUCCCACCAGCCACUACUUCACUGCCCCCUUGACUGGACUGGGGGAGAUCAAAAUAUGUGCUGUCUGGCUCCCUGAGAAAAGAUGAGAAAGCCUUUAGCACUACUUGAACACCCUCACCGACCUGCCCAAGGGUAGUGUUAAUUUGAAGAGGAAAGGAGUCCUGCCCUCUAGAGCCAAGCAGAACAACAUGACUCUUGCCCUCUACUCCAAGUCGCCAAUCCUAACAAUGUUCCAAAUGACCUCGUGGAACCCCACCUUUCCACCUCACCUCUUCCCUGGUCAUCAGGUUCUUUCCUACAACACCCAAGACCCUCAGGAGAGGAAUCAGUGGGCUCUGCAAACUACUAGGAAGUACCUCAUUUUAUAUGAUGCAUCCUAAGGAAAGUUCAUGGCGUUGGUGACCCAUUUGGCUGCAUUUCCUGCCCAUGUGCCUAUCUGCCUAGAACUGGACACCAGACCUCAUGAGAGGCUGAACCUAGUCUGAGCUGAGGAAACACAUCCCUAGACUUCUACUUCAUCUCCCCGGGAUAUAGACUCUGAAGGAAACUCACAG